RNAcentral lists this ribosomal RNA (1392 nucleotides) under Brenneria salicis. Its description in RNAcentral is "16S ribosomal RNA". It matches the Rfam family "Bacterial small subunit ribosomal RNA". Lineage: Bacteria; Pseudomonadati; Pseudomonadota; Gammaproteobacteria; Enterobacterales; Pectobacteriaceae. The record is from RNAcentral.
GUCGAGCGGUAACACAGAGGAGCUUGCUCCUUGGGUGACGAGCGGCGGACGGGUGAGUAAAGUCUGGGGAUCUGCCUGAUGGAGGGGGAUAACUACUGGAAACGGUAGCUAAUACCGCAUGACGUCUUCGGACCAAAGUGGGGGACCUUCGGGCCUCACGCCAUGAGAUGAACCCAGAUGGGAUUAGCUGGUAGGUGAGGUAACGGCUCACCUAGGCGACGAUCCCUAGCUGGUCUGAGAGGAUGACCAGCCACACUGGAACUGAGACACGGUCCAGACUCCUACGGGAGGCAGCAGUGGGGAAUAUUGCACAAUGGGGGAAACCCUGAUGCAGCCAUGCCGCGUGUGUGAAGAAGGCCUUCGGGUUGUAAAGCACUUUCAGCGGGGAGGAAGGCAAUAAACUUAAUAAGUUUGUUGAUUGACGUUACCCGCAGAAGAAGCACCGGCUAACUCCGUGCCAGCAGCCGCGGUAAUACGGAGGGUGCAAGCGUUAAUCGGAAUGACUGGGCGUAAAGCGCACGCAGGCGGUCUGUUAAGUUGGAUGUGAAAUCCCCGGGCUCAACCCGGGAACAGCAUUCAAAACUGACAGGCUAGAGUCUCGUAGAGGGGGGUAGAAUUCCAGGUGUAGCGGUGAAAUGCGUAGAGAUCUGGAGGAAUACCGGUGGCGAAGGCGGCCCCCUGGACGAAGACUGACGCUCAGGUGCGAAAGCGUGGGGAGCAAACAGGAUUAGAUACCCUGGUAGUCCACGCCGUAAACGAUGUCGACUUGGAGGCUGUGGUCUUGAACCGUGGCUUCCGGAGCUAACGCGUUAAGUCGACCGCCUGGGGAGUACGGCCGCAAGGUUAAAACUCAAAUGAAUUGACGGGGGCCCGCACAAGCGGUGGAGCAUGUGGUUUUAAUUCGAUGCAACGCGAAGAACCUUACCUACUCUUGACAUCCAGAGAAGACUGUAGAGAUACGGUUGUGCCUUCGGGAGCUCUGAGACAGGUGCUGCAUGGCUGUCGUCAGCUCGUGUUGUGAAAUGUUGGGUUAAGUCCCGCAACGAGCGCAACCCUUAUCCUUUGUUGCCAGCGAUACGGUCGGGAACUCAAAGGAGACUGCCGGUGAUAAACCGGAGGAAGGUGGGGAUGACGUCAAGUCAUCAUGGCCCUUACGAGUAGGGCUACACACGUGCUACAAUGGCGCAUACAAAGAGAAGCGAGCCUGCGAGGGUGAGCGGACCUCAUAAAGUGCGUCGUAGUCCGGAUUGGAGUCUGCAACUCGACUCCAUGAAGUCGGAAUCGCUAGUAAUCGUAGAUCAGAAUGCUACGGUGAAUACGUUCCCGGGCCUUGUACACACCGCCCGUCACACCAUGGGAGUGGGUUGCAAAAGAAGUAGGUAGCUUAACCUU